AAUAGAUACCCGGGUAGUCCACGCCGUAAACGAUGAUAACUAGCUGUCCGGGCUCAUGGAGCUUGGGUGGCGCAGCUAACGCAUUAAGUUAUCCGCCUGGGGAGUACGGUCGCAAGAUUAAAAUUCAAAGGAAUUGACGGGGGCCUGCACAAGCGGUGGAGCAUGUGGUUUAAUUCGAAGCAACGCGCAGAACCUUACCAGCCUUUGACAUGCCUAGUAUGGUUUCCAGAGAUGGAUUCCUUGUCUUCGGACGCUAGGACACAGGUGCUGCAUGGCUGUCGUCAGCUCAUGUCGUGAGAUGUUGGGUUAAGUCCCGCGACGAGCGCAACCCUGUCCUUAGUUGCCAUCAUUCAGUUGGGCACUCUAAGGAAACCGCCGGUGAUAAGCCGGAGGAAGUGGGAUGACGUCAAGUCCUCAUGGCCCUUACAGGCUGGGCUACACACGUGCUACAAUGGCGGUGACAGUGGGCAGCAAACUCGCGAGAGUGAGCUAAUCUCCAAAAGCCGUCUCG
This 511-nucleotide ribosomal RNA is filed under the name uncultured bacterium. RNAcentral describes it as "bacterial SSU rRNA". It matches the Rfam family "Bacterial small subunit ribosomal RNA", at positions 777 to 1290 of the family's 1533-position model. The record is from RNAcentral.